UCUGUGGUUCCAGAUCUAUUCCAUUUAAGAAUGAUGGAGGGCAUGUGUUAUUGGGGACCUUCAAUGCUGUAUAAAUGUUUUCGUGCCCUUUCCAAGAUCUGUGCCUCGACACAAUCCUGUCUCGGAGCUCUACAGACAAUUCCUUCGACCUCAUGGCUUUGGUUUUUGCUCUGAUAUUGAUUGUCAACUGUGGGACCUUUUAUAGACAGUUGUGUGCCUUUCCAAAUCAUGUCCAAUUAAUUGAAUUUACCAUAGCUGGACUCCAAUCAAGCUGUAGAAACAUCUCAAGGGUGAUCAAGGGAAACAGGAUGCACCUGAACUCAAUUUCGAGUUUCAUAGCAAAGGGUCUGAAUGCUUUUGUAAAUAAGGUAUUUCAGUUUUUUUUUUGUGCUAAAUUUCCAAACAUUUCCAAAAACCGGUGUUCUCUUUGUCAUUAUGAGGUAUUGUGUGAAGCUUGCUUAGGAUAUUUAUUCAUUUAAUCAAUUUUAGAAAGAGUCUGUAAUGUAGCGAAAUGUGACCGACAGCCUUUAUUCAGUCUUAUGUAGCAAAAUAUGAAAUUCUGUUUUUUACAUUGGAUGAAAGCAGAGACACAGAGCUACAAAGUGGUAUAUCAUACACUACAUUUUUGAGGAAAAUGGAAAAGUAAUUCUGCAUUGAAAGUUGAUAAACUUGUAAACUCAAUUUUGACAAAAUGGCCUUUGAAUGUUUUGGUACUACUACUGGAGGGUUCUCCUUUGAAUGGUACUACUACUGGAGGGUUCUCCUUUGAAUGGUACUACUUCUGGAGGGCUCUCCUUUGAAUGGUACUACUACUGGAGGGCUCUCCUUUGAAUGGUACUACAACUGGAGGGCUCUCCUUUGAAUGGUACUACUACUGGAGGGCUCUCCUUUGAAUGGUACUACUACUGGAGGGCUCUCCUUUGAAUGGUACUACUACUGGAGGGCUCUCCUUUGAAUGGUACUACUACCGGAGGGCUCUCCUUUGAAUGGUACUACAACUGGAGGGCUCUCCUUUGAAUGGUACUACUACUGGAGGGCUCUCCUUUGAAUGGUACUACUACUGGAGGGCUCUCCUUUGAAUGGUACUUCUGCUGGAGGGCUCUCCUUUGAAUGGUACUACUACUGGAGGGCUCUCCUUUGUCCACACCCACCACCCAUCUCUUUAAGGAUUCACAUAUAAGGUCAUGUACGAAACAGUGAGUUGUGUAGUAAAGAUUAAGACUAAAAGUGAUAAAAGUAGUAGCCUACAAUAAGGAACAAUUCCAGGUAAAGAGAAAGUGUCCAGAUUAAAAUAUUUGAUCAAUAUUAGAUGACGUUUACCCAGACACACUAAAUUGAUGGGUCAUGUGAAAGAAAUGCCAUAACCCCCAGCCACAUCUUGCUAAGUGGAUGGGUCUCGACAGAAGGUGUAAACGCUACAGCGAAAUAGUUACUUGCAUAGUAGCAAUAUCAGAAAUAGAUAUAUAUAUAAUAUCCAGUAUGUACAAGAACGAUGUCAAUAAGUGAUCAGUGAUAGAUGAGGUAGUUAUAUGCAUACAAUCAGGGGUAAAGUGGCUGAGCAGCAGGAUAAACAAAUAAAUAGUAACAGCAAUGUAUGGCGUGUGUGUUAGCAGAGAGUCAUUUGAAUAGAGGCACUGCAGAUAGUGCUGAUGACUGGUUUGUCUGAAACACGCAUGAACAAGGGAAUCUAUAUUAGGAGAGCCUGUUUCUGUCCUGCCCUUGACUUUGGUGCAGGGCAUGUGAUGUUCAUAGCCUCUUCGUCGCAAAACCCCUUGAUCUUCUCAAAAACAUAAGUUUGUCUAGCUGUGUCCAGUCCAGGUGGUGCUUGUCCAGGCAGACCAUCUAUGGGAGGAAGGAUGUCAGCGAUGCGCAGCAGCUGAAACCUGGUCCCGACUGAGUCCGAACGCUCCUUGGCAACAACAACAACAGGCUCCAGUGCAUCGAAAUAACAAAAACAUUUGAGAAGACAUUACAACCUUGCACAACAUCAAUUCAUCCCCCAAGUUUAGAUAAGAAGAAUAACCUCGUACAAUUCAAUGAAAAUGAUAUUCACCUGAAGUGCUGGUAGUGUGGCAGCAGCCUGAAGUACUGAAUCAGGUGUUGUUUCCAGCCAUAUAUUUUUUAUUUUUUUACUUUAUUUCGCCUUUAUUUAAACAGGUAAGCCAGUUGAGAACAAGUUCUCAUUUAUAUCUAUGACCUGGUCAAGACAACGCAAAGCAGUGCGCCACAAACAACACAGAGUUACACAUGGGAUAAACAAAGGUACAGUCAAUAACACAAUAGAAAAAUCUAGAUACAGUGUGUGCAAAUGAGCUAAGAUUAGGGAGGUAAAGGCAACAAAUAGGCCAUAGUGACGAAAUAAUUACAAUAUAGCAAUUAAACACUGGAUUGAUAGAUGUGCAGAAGAUGAAUGUGCAAGUAGAGAUACUGGGGUGCAAAGGAGCAACUGCCUUUGCUGGAUGACUUGCCUUCAUCAAUCAAGUAGUUGACUUGUUGUGGUAUUCCUUCACAGCAGACACCAAACAAGCCACACAUGUGAGGAGUUAAAAAGUAGAUGGGACCUGGCUGCAUAUGGUCAGAAGGAUAGUACAUCUGCGAACAACAAAAAGAACAUUAAGAUAAAUUAAAAUGUCUCACCCCUGUCAGUCUGUCUUUACACAGCUCAGUGAAAGGCAAUUGCAUGCCUUAUAUAUUAUAUAUAUUUUUUUCUAUCUAUCUAUCUAUCUAUCUAUCUAUCUAUCUAUCUAUCUAUCUAUCUAUCUAUCUAUCUAUCUAUCUAUCUAUCUAUCUAUCUAUCUAUCUAUCUAUCUAUCUAUCUAUCUAUCUAUCUAUCUAUCUAAUCACUAUAAAGGAGGAGAUGUUGCUUACUUGUUGAGCCAAAAUCAAAGCUGUAAUGCAGCCUGAUGUCUUUGCUUGCUAGUUCAGUAGGGGCAACAACAAAAAAACACAUUUAAACAAAAGUUUACGUUCAAAUGGCUCUCCUGUGAAGUAGUGACCCACGACAUAUGUCUAGUUUCCUGAAACAGCUCACGAAUUUGGAAAAAGUCAAGGGGUCUGAAUACUG
This is a long non-coding RNA of Oncorhynchus tshawytscha (Chinook salmon), 3064 nucleotides long. The record is from Ensembl. Lineage: Eukaryota; Metazoa; Chordata; Actinopteri; Salmoniformes; Salmonidae.